AUUGAACGCUGGCGGCAGGCCUAACACAUGCAAGUCGAACGAGUGGCGGACGGGUGAGUAAUGUCUGGGAAACUGCCCGAUGGAGGGGGAUAACUACUGGAACCGGUAGCUAAUACCACAUACAAUAGGAUGUGCCCAGAUUGGAUUAGGUAGGAGGUGGGGGAACGGCUCACCUAGGCGACGAUCCCUAGCUGGUCUGAGAGGAUGACCAGAUCCACUGGAACUUAGACACGGUCCAGACUACUACGGGAGGCAGCAGUGGGGAAUAUUGCACAUUGGGCGCAAGCCUGAUGCAGCCAUUCCGCGUGUAUGAAGAAGGCCUUGGGGUUGUAAAGUACUUUCAGCGGGGAGGCGUUACCCGCAGAAGAAGCACCGGCUAACUCCGUGCCAGCAGCCGCGGUAAUAC
RNAcentral lists this ribosomal RNA (406 nucleotides) under uncultured bacterium. RNAcentral describes it as "partial 16S ribosomal RNA". It matches the Rfam family "Bacterial small subunit ribosomal RNA", at positions 30 to 526 of the family's 1533-position model. The record is from RNAcentral.